This 438-nucleotide ribosomal RNA is filed under the name uncultured bacterium. RNAcentral describes it as "bacterial SSU rRNA". It matches the Rfam family "Bacterial small subunit ribosomal RNA", at positions 338 to 793 of the family's 1533-position model. The record is from RNAcentral.
CCUACGGGAGGCAGCAGUGGGGAAUCUUAGACAAUGGGCGAAAGCCUGAUCUAGCCAUGCCGCGUGAGUGAUGAAGGUCUUAGGAUCGUAAAGCUCUUUCGCUAGGGAUGAUAAUGACAGUACCUAGUAAAGAAGCCCCGGCUAACUCCGUGCCAGCAGCCGCGGUAAUACGGAGGGGGCUAGCGUUGUUCGGAAUUACUGGGCGUAAAGCGUACGUAGGCGGAUCAGAAAGUAUGGGGUGAAAUCCCAGGGCUUAACCCUGGAACUGCCUCAUAAACUCCUGGUCUUGAGUUCGAGAGAGGUGAGUGGAAUUCCAAGUGUAGAGGUGAAAUUCGUAGAUAUUUGGAGGAACACCAGUGGCGAAGGCGGCUCACUGGCUCGAUACUGACGCUGAGGUACGAAAGUGUGGGGAGCAAACAGGAUUAGAUACCCUGGUAG